Long non-coding RNA from Equus caballus (horse), 1683 nucleotides. NCBI's taxonomy places the organism in Eukaryota, Metazoa, Chordata, Mammalia, Perissodactyla, Equidae. The record is from Ensembl.
AAAAAAUUGGCUUCCGAGUCUGGUGUGGCCUUGAUUGGAAAACCAGGGCCAGUAUCUUCACAGGCCGACUCUAUAACUAUUUUCUGUGUUCACCGAAUUUCCCUGUUGUUGAGAGUCACCUGAAUUGCUUAUAAGUCCCUGAGUUACUGGGAGUCAUCUCUGGAAAUUAUGAUUGAGGUCUUGGGUGAGGGGCUGGGAGUCUGUGGUUUUCAUAAACUAUUCUUAGGGUUUGUGUCUUUAGGGAAAUUGGUGUAAUACUAAAAGAUGGUAUUCGAACUUUUUUUCCUAAGAAGUUGCUCCGUGUUAACCUGUUCUACUUAUCCUGAUAUUCCCUAUUAGUUCCUCCUUUGGAUUUGAGUUUCUCCAGCAGCUGCUCCAAAUAAGUGCUGUUUCUGGGAAAGAAAGGAAUAUGCAGAGUUUAAGAGGGGGAUACACUAGUUCGGAUCUUCACCUUCUGCCCUCCCCCACCCCCUCAAGGAAUGAGCCACAGGUGGGAGGCAUCCUUUAUAAGCCAGUUCACUCAGAUCUUCUCACCCUACGAAAGCAGAAACCAGUUUAGGAAGCAAAGCAUUUAUUUGCGCUCAAAAACUUGUAAUUUGGGGAGCACAAAUUCAGCCCAGUCCUCAGACAAGAAUGUGCAGAGAAAGGUGACUGCAGAAAAUGAACGCGCCAAGCUUGUCAUACUGCAGAAGGCCUGAAGAAGGCGCUGCUGGUGUCCCUGUUCCUGCCGGCUGCUGCAGGAAGGAGUCGAACCUUCCUUGACAAGACAGAUAUUGCCAGUCAGACAGCCUGUCCUAUUGGCUGCCCGCCAGGCCCCUCACCGAGGGGAAAGACAGUGACUAAGCCCCAUCUUUCAGCCUGAAUUCUUGAACCUCCACCCAGAGGAACCAUCUCUUGGAGAAACAAGAUCUCCUCAUUCUGCAAUGCUGAGAAAUCAAGAAAACACCAGACCAUCUGCUCCCUCCACCCCUGCUUCCCUCAUUCACCCGCCAUACUCAUUCAUCCCUUGAGGCUCGGCUGGAAACAACCUCCUCUGUGAAGCCUUCCUUGACUUCCCAGGUGCACUGUGCUGCUCCAGCUAUAUGACUAACAGGAUGGAAGAGCUUUAGGACCCUACAGACUUGCAUUCAAGUGUCUUCCAAGCUAGAGCUGAAGACAUUAAAAUGUCGCAAGAGAGAGAAAAAUAUGGGGCUUCCAGGCAGGCAGUGAAGGAAGCUGGCUGGGUAAAGGAAGCUGUCUACCCUUUCCCUCAAAUCUUCUCAGGAGAUAGAAUUAAGUCUGUCACUUGAACAUGGGCACAAGGAUUGCAAAAACCCAAAGAAGAAGGAGGACUCCCCCAUUGUUACAGCGGUCAAAGCAAGGACCAAGCACGUCCAUGUGCUUGGUCACCUACUGCCACAGUUUCUGUGUCCAGUUGGGAUUCAGGACAGUAAACAACUUCAGUCCACAUGAGAGUUUCAGUGGAAUGGACCUGAGUUGCUGACUUCGUAACUUCCAGUCUCUUUAGGUAGUAAAUCUGCUUGCCUUGCAACAGUGAUUCUCAAACGGGGGCCCCUGAGCCAACAGCGUCAGUAUCACCUGGAACUUGCGAGAAAUGCAGACUCUCAGGACUCCCCCAGACCCAUGGGUCGGAACGGGGCCCAGCAUCCCUUGUGUCAACAAGCCUCCUGGGAGAGUCCCAUG